RNAcentral lists this long non-coding RNA (331 nucleotides) under Struthio camelus australis. Its description in RNAcentral is "lncRNA (ENSSCUG00000003263.1)". The record is from RNAcentral. Lineage: Eukaryota; Metazoa; Chordata; Aves; Struthioniformes; Struthionidae.
CACACAAGCUAGCAUUCCCUUGGUAUUGACAGAGAUGAGUAAAAAGCUUGGGGAAAAGCCUAGUGCAAAAUACUAGUGGUAAAUUUCACCUUUCAUUUUUUAGAAGGAAUCAUCUUACUUGAGUCCUACCACUCCUUAGGGAAACUCUGAACAAAAUCUUUAAGGAUAAUUGCUGAAUACUUGGUUUGAUCAAUGGAUCCAAUUCUGAGAAUAAACGUAGAUUCUUCAUAAUUUUAGAGAACGUGAGAUUUGCACUUUCUUCCAUCCGGAUAGGGACUCCAGUAGGAAUUUGAUUGCAGUGUGAGAACCAAAGGAGAAAGAGUUAAGAGCU